AGGGUUCCAGACACUCAUGAAGAUCCUGGGUAUGACCUGUGGAUGCUGUCACUGAAGAAAGGAAAAAUUAGGGGUGGUAUGUGUGCAAGCUGUGUGAUGGGAGGCAACUGAUUUUAACCCUGGCCUUUGCAUCCAAACACUCUCUUCAGAUUGGAGUGCGAUCCAGUACAAAAUCUGAGUGGGGCAAUGGAAAGUUAAUAAACUUCCUGUAAUCCAGCUUUGUGGGUUUGUUCACUUUGAAAAAGAAAGAAAGAAAGAAACCCAAGAGGGUACAGGGAAAUUCCACAUCUUCAGCGUUCCUGGAAGCGCGGCUGCUCCCUC
This is a non-coding RNA of Struthio camelus australis, 321 nucleotides long. NCBI's taxonomy places the organism in Eukaryota, Metazoa, Chordata, Aves, Struthioniformes, Struthionidae. The record is from RefSeq and is a predicted model, not a curated record.